Pelobates cultripes (western spadefoot toad) is the source of this 564-nucleotide non-coding RNA. NCBI's taxonomy places the organism in Eukaryota, Metazoa, Chordata, Amphibia, Anura, Pelobatidae. The record is from the annotation of a GenBank genome assembly.
ACAGUUCUACAAUUUAGGCCGGUGCCCAUUAUUUUAAUGUUGGCAAAUAACAGCCCGGUAUUUUGCAGGGGGAUGGCCUGGUGAGCCAGUAGGCCGUAGGUUGCAGAAAUCUGCUUUAUAAGAUAAUUCACUAAUCUCUGAAUUAUAUAGAAUUUAAAUCCUAAUUGUAAACCUAAACUGAGUUGGAAAAUUAGUCCAAAUAACCUAUUUUUGUAUUACUCUUGUAAUUCUGAUUUGAAUUCAGUACCAUUUGGAGUUUAGUGAACCCUGACAGGUCUAUUCAAUGAACUCUGAAUUGUAGUGGAUUCAAAGAUUCAAAUCCACUUAGGCUAAAAUACCAAACUUUGUCAAUAGAUGAGUUAGAGAACAUUUUUAGAUCGACUUUUUUUAACCUAAAUUUUGCAGUUUACUCCAGCUUUGUGUUUAGUGAAUAAACCUCUAAGGCAGUUCUUCUUGGGUUUUGUUUUUUUACAGACAAAACAGCAUACAUAACAGUAGAUGGUACAAGAUGUAAAAUAUGUUUAAUGACCUAUCAUGUAGAAUGAUCAAAUUUUUCCGUAUGAU